Molecule: ribosomal RNA, 345 nt
Filed under: uncultured soil bacterium
Lineage: Bacteria
Description: bacterial SSU rRNA
Rfam family: Bacterial small subunit ribosomal RNA
Source: RNAcentral
AGAACGAACGCUGGCGGCAUGCCUAAUACAUGCAAGUCGAACGAACUCUUCGGUGUUAGUGGCGCACGGGUGCGUAACGCGUGGGAAUCUGCCCUUGGGUUCGGAAUAACAGUUGGAAACGACUGCUAAUACCGGAUGAUAUCGAAAGAUCAAAGAUUUAUCGCCCAGGGAUGAGCCCGCGUAGGAUUAGCUAGUUGGUGAGGUAAAGGCUCACCAAGGCGACGAUCCUUAGCUGGUCUGAGAGGAUGAUCAGCCACACGUGGGACUGAGACACCGGCCCAGACCUCCGUACGGGAGGCAGCGAGUAGGGAAUAGUGGACAAUGGGCGACAAGCCUGACUCCGAG